Molecule: ribosomal RNA, 452 nt
Filed under: uncultured bacterium
Lineage: Bacteria
Description: bacterial SSU rRNA
Rfam family: Bacterial small subunit ribosomal RNA
Source: RNAcentral
AACGAACGCUGGCGGCAUGCCUAACACAUGCAAGUCGAACGAAGCCUUCGGGCUUAGUGGCGCACGGGUGCGUAACACGUGGGAAUCUGCCCUUUGGUUCGGAAUAACAGUUAGAAAUGACUGCUAAUACCGGAUAAUGACGUAAGUCCAAAGAUUUAUCGCCGAAGGAUGAGCCCGCGUAGGAUUAGGUAGUUGGUGGGGGUAAAUGGCCCACCAAGCCGACGAUCCUUAGCUGGUCUGAGAGGAUGAUCAGCCACACUGGGACUGAGACACGGCCCAGACUCCUACGGGAGGCAGCAGUGGGGAAUAUUGGACAAUGGGCGAAAGCCUGAUCCAGCAAUGCCGCGUGAGUGAUGAAGGCCUUAGGGUUGUAAAGCUCUUUUACCAGGGAUGAUAAUGACAGUACCUGGAGAAUAAGCUCCGGCUAACUCCGUGCCAGCAGCCGCGGUAAU